GACGAACGCUGGCGGCGUGCUUAACACAUGCAAGUCGAACGGAAAGGCCUCUUUCGGGGGGUACUCGAGUGGCGAACGGGUGAGUAACACGUGAGUAACCUGCCCUUGACUUUGGGAUAACUUCAGGAAACUGGGGCUAAUACCGGAUAGGAGCUCCUGCUGCAUGGUGGGGGUUGGAAAGUUUCGGCGGUUGGGGAUGGACUCGCGGCUUAUCAGCUUGUUGGUGGGGUAGUGGCUUACCAAGGCUUUGACGGGUAGCCGGCCUGAGAGGGUGACCGGCCACAUUGGGACUGAGAUACGGCCCAGACUCCUACGGGAGGCAGCAGUGGGGAAUAUUGCACAAUGGGUGGAAGCCUGAUGCAGCAACGCCGAGUGCGGGAUGACGGCCUUCGGGUUGUAAACCGCUUUCGCUCAUGACGAAGCUUUGUGUGACGGUAGUGGGUAAAGAAGCACCGGCUAACUACGUG
RNAcentral lists this ribosomal RNA (467 nucleotides) under uncultured bacterium. RNAcentral describes it as "partial 16S ribosomal RNA". It matches the Rfam family "Bacterial small subunit ribosomal RNA", at positions 28 to 507 of the family's 1533-position model. The record is from RNAcentral.